RNAcentral lists this ribosomal RNA (301 nucleotides) under uncultured bacterium. RNAcentral describes it as "partial 16S ribosomal RNA". It matches the Rfam family "Bacterial small subunit ribosomal RNA", at positions 509 to 809 of the family's 1533-position model. The record is from RNAcentral.
CAGUCGCCGCGGUAAUACGGAGGGGGCUAGCGUUGUUCGGAAUUACUGGGCGUAAAGCGCACGUAGGCGGCUUGGUAAGUUAGAGGUGAAAGCCUGGAGCUCAACUCCAGAAUUGCCUUUAAGACUGCCGAGCUAGCAGGUGAGAGAGGUAAGUGGAAUUCCGAGUGUAGAGGUGAAAUUCGUAGAUAUUCGGAAGAACACCAGUGGCGAAGGCGGCUUACUGGCUCAUACUGGACGCUGAGGUGCGAAAGCGUGGGGAGCAAACAGGAUUAGAUACCCGAGUAGUCCCUGUCUCUUAUAA